CUUUCCGCGGUGUCAGUCACUCAUUCAGAGAAACAAUUCGAAAAACGUGUGUAGUUAAUCGAAACGAGUACGCACGAUGUUAAAACCAUAUACAUUGUGUACACCUUAAGUUUCAUUUUAGUUUUCCUAAUUUUUGUAUUUUUUUUUUCAUUUCGUUUUUUCUCUCUCUCUCUUCCGCUCACCGUGUAUAUUUGUUUUGUUUUCGCUUCUGACACCAUGUAAUUGAAAUCGUGUUUUAUGUGCUUAAUUUUUGCGCUGCAAACCAAUUAUUUUGUUUUUUCAAAUCAAAUAAGUUUCAUUACUUUCGUGUUUGCUUCGCUCAUUUUGGAAACGCGUUGUAUUAAAACCAAAUAUAUAAACAUUGUGUAUGCGUGUGUUGUGUUCCGAAAAUUGAAGGGAACGAAAGAACAAAAAAAAGAACCACUUUAGUAUUGUGAUACAAAAGAACUUACUUUGCAAAAAAUAUUAAAUUGAAAAUGCAUGUCGUUGAAUAAAUAUAAUUGAAUAAAUGUGAAUAGAGGCGAGAUAGUGGUUGAGUCAACCCCAACGAAAGUCAUCGAACGAAAAAUCGAUAAGCAAUCGAGUUUUGCUGUGUGUGAUUUAUCUGUCAUCGUUAGAGUGUAUCAAAUCGGUUCGGUCAAAGGACAAUUUUAGAAGCGAAUCAAGCAAUUGAUUUUGAUUUUUUUAUAUUCUCUUCUCUUUUGUCGUUGCUACGUCGUUUGCCAGUUGGAGACACACAGAUCAGUUUAGUUCAAUCACCGUUGAAUCACACAGUUAAAUCUCACGACAAAAUUCAAGUCCAAGGCAACAGACAUCAAAACACAAAUGAACUCAAUUCAUCCGUUCCAUUUUGUCCGCAUACAGGGAAUGCACAGUACUGUGUGAAAUUAAAUACCCGUCAUAUAAUCUGCAAAAUAAAACGCAAACAAAGAAUAUUUAAGGUGCUUUUUGUUACAGUGCGGUAAAUAUUCGAACGAAAAAGAAAAUCUGGUUUUUCGCUGUUUCAAACACAAUCAGUUUGUGCUAGAAUAAACAAUUUACAUGAGAAUUGAAAAGUGAAAGAGACACACCGAGCCGUGUGUACUUAUGUGUGUGUGUAUGUAAAAAUUGUCCAUAACAAAUGCACUUUCUCUAAUCAAACACAAUUCGCAAAAGUGACUUCGACUGAAAAACCAUAAUCAAAGAACAUGUAAUUCAUCGAUUGAACGUUUGUUUCGCUUCUUCAAUUAUCGUUUUUGUUUAAUUAGUGUACCAAUUUUCCGACUGAAACUUGUGCACAUAUUUCAUUUUAAUUUGCACCACUCGUCAAUCAUCAUUCUAAGUUCGUAAAGAAAAAUUUGUGAAAAAAAAAUUUUGCGUCAAGAGUGAGCGAAAAUAAAAGAAAGAGAAGAAAAUAUUUUUGUAAGAAGGCACCGAGCGUACGAUUUAAUUGAACAACAAUUGCUGACUAUGGCUACUAUUCAACGGCUUACAACCAACAAGACUUGCGAUAAUUUACACAAAACCCAAUUGAUCAACGGCUAAAAUUAGAGAGAACGAUUUUUUGACGGACGACGACCAGCAUACAUCAUAUUUUCUGUCGCGAAUUUAACGAGAUAGUCAGAAAACAUUGAAUAAAACCGCAUUUUCUUCGUCGAUAGACGGUGCAAAGAGAAACAGAAAAACAGAUAGGUGAUUUUGUGUGUGUGACGCGAAAAAACAUCGAAUAAACAACACCAAAAUUGGAUAGCAACCAUGGCAGAGGACGAUAUGGACUGUUGCGUUCGGGUAGCCGUCAGAAUCCGGCCGCAAAUACCGCGAGAAAUAAUCGAUAUGUGUCGCAUAUGUACACAAGUGACACCAAACGAACCGCAAAUCAUUUUGGGUGCCGACAAAGCAUUCACCUACGAUUUUGUCUUCGAUGUCAAUUCCACACAAAGUGAUAUCUACCAAGAAUGUGUGGAGCGUCUUGUAGACGGUGCGAUGAAAGGCUAUAACGCAACUGUAUUGGCAUAUGGUCAGACUGGAUCUGGAAAAACGUUUACAAUGGGCACUGGAUUCGAAACCGAAACCCAUGAAGAUCAAGAAGGAAUUAUACCGCGGGCGGUACGUCAUUUGUUUUCAUCAAUUGGCAAUCUCAAGGAAAAUCCAUACGAUGAAAAUGGCGUUUGCAUGGAUAUGCUGCAAUUCAGCGUUGGUGCACAGUUCAUGGAACUUUACAAUGAAGAGAUCAUCGACUUACUCGAUCCAUACAAUAAGACAAAGCAAUAUAAAAUAACAUCUGACAGUGCCGGAGCGAUAAAUGUGCCAGAUGCGACAAUCAAACCGAUACAUGGGCCACAAGAUGCAAUGCGGUGUUUGCAACAAGGUGCAUUGGCACGAACAACAGCAUCGACACAAAUGAACGCACAAUCGUCACGUAGUCAUGCAAUUUUCACAAUCCUUAUUAAACGACAACGUCGCAUAUCUGGCGAAGAGAAUAAUCUUAUGGAAGACGAUCUGGAGACAUUGACGGCCAAAUUUCAUUUCGUCGAUUUGGCUGGUUCAGAGCGACUAAAGCGCACUGGUGCGACCGGUGAACGUGCCAAAGAGGGCAUUUCCAUCAAUUCAGGUUUGCUGUCGCUUGGCAAUGUCAUCUCAGCAUUGGGAGAUUCAACGAAGAAAGCCACACACAUUCCAUAUCGAGAUUCGAAAUUGACACGACUGCUGCAAGAUUCACUCGGUGGAAACAGUCAAACGUUGAUGAUUGCAUGUGUUUCACCGAGUGAUCGUGACUUUAUGGAAACAUUGAAUACAUUAAAGUAUGCGAAUCGUGCACGCAACAUAACAAAUAAGGUGGUUGUAAAUCAAGAUCAAAGUUCACGAACUAUUUCACUGUUGCGCCGCGAAAUUGCCGCAUUGCAAAUGGAAUUGAUCGAAUAUAAACAAGGCAAACGAACAAUGGAUUCAGAGGGCAAUUCAACGUUAACAGAUACAUUUCAUGAAAAUGCAAUGCUAUUAGCCGAUAAUAAGAGGCUUCAGCAGAGAAUUAAAGCCAUGCAAGAAACGAUAAACAAUGUAACCGAGAAAAAUGUCGAUUUGAUCGCUGAAAAAGAGUCUAGUGAAUGGACGUCGUCGACGUCCAAUGAUAAAUCCGUGACCGAGUUAGUCGGGCGAUACAUCAAAGAAAUUGAAAAACUCAGAGCCAAACUCAUUGAAUCCGAACAAAUGUAUCAACAAUUGAAGAAAACGGUGAACACAGCGCGUAAAAAUCUUAUCACUUUCGCCGAUACAGAAGACGUCGAAGAUGUGAUUGACUUGGCAAAACGAAAGUUGGAGAAAGAGCGAGAAAUGUUUAUGUCAAAAUCGUUGCCUGGCUUUCCAGAUAAUUCGACAUCGAUUGACAACGAAAACGAAUCGGACAGUGAUGAGGAUUCAGAUGAAUCCGAAGAAAAAGUAUGUCAAGAGGAUUUAAUCGAUAUCAGCGAAGACAUUGAAUUGAAGAGCAAGCUCAUCGAACAAUUGGAAAUGACGAAAAAUCGAAUGGAAAAAAUGCGUCAAAUCUACGAAGAAAAAUUGAAUGUGCUCAAUUCAAAGAUAAUCAACACACAACGCGAACGAGAUCAAGUGUUGGCAAAUAUGACCGCAUCGAUUGGUGGUACGACCAAUUCAACGACAACUAACGAUAAAACAAAAAAGGUACGCGAAGAAUAUGAGAGAAAAAUCAAUGAUAUGCAAAAGGAGCUGAAGAAAUUGCAAAUGGCACAACGCGAACAUGCUCGACAACAUCGUGAAAUUCAAGCACAAGAGACACAGUUGCGUACACUGAAAGCGGAAUUGAGUGAAUUGAAAUCGGCGAAGAUAAAACUAAUCAAGCGAAUGAACGAACAGAUGAGCCGUCACAAGGAGGCCGAAACCCGAAAGGCCCGUGAAAUUGCACAGUUGCGCAAAGAACAGCGUAAACAAUCGAAUGCAAUAAAAUCGUUGCAAACACAAAGUGCGGCCAAAGAUCAAGUGUUGAAGCGACGCAUUGAAGAAGUGGCCGCUUUGAAACGUGAUCGUCGAAGUCAUUUGAGUCAAAAAGCUGCCGGUCGUUUACCACCAAAGAAAACACCUGUGAUAUUCAAUCCGAAGCAAGCACGAACAAAGUGGGAAACGUUACAGCGUACAAUCAAUCGGGCGGCCCGCACAAAACAAACAAUGUUCGAAUUGGAAAGUGAAUUAGAGCGUUUGGUGGCCGAACGUGAAUCAUUGAUCAAAGAUUUGAACGCCGUAAAACGACGUCAAAAAACAGAAGAUACACCUGAAUUAGCAUCGGAAGAAGAUACACUGAAAUCUAGCCUACGUUUUGUACAAGAAAACAUAACACAGGUGCAACAUUCGAUUGUUGAAAUCGAAGAUGGAAAACAAUCGACAUCCGAUACACAGAAUAUUCAAAAUUUGCUGGAAAACAUUCGAACAUUCGAUGAAGCCAAGUUUUUAUUGGAGAAAUUGACAAGCUCGUCCAUUUUACAAACAUGCGAAACGGCAUUAACACAGAAUCGAUUAAUGGAUAAUGAGGCACUUCUGAGCGAUAUCAAACAAGAAAGCAACAUUCAGCAUCAAUUGCUUCAGCAUGUAUUGACUCAAAAUCCGUCGGUGGCAUUCCCCGAUACAUUGAUCACAACGCCCACAAUCUCCAAUAAGUUCAGCGGUACGUAUACCAAUCUGACAGCAUUGGAUUCAGACGGAGAUGGACAGAGACCAACCAUAGAUAGCAAUAACACCAUCAGCACUGUCAAUUCACGUUCCCCCUCACCCAUGCUCCAGAACGAUCCUGACACGAUACCGCCACGAACACCAAAAGUUAGAAGACGCACUGCACAGACGCAAGAUUUACUGUUCGGUGAUUCGUCCUCGUCAAUUGAUCAAAUGUCACGUUCGUAUCAGCAACAGCAUUCUCCAUCGCACCAACAACAGCAACAGACCGAUAUGACACGUAGUAGUUUUAUUCCAUUAUCACGCGUACCGUCUGCCCCCGGUUCGCUUAAAGGAUUGAUGUCCGUUCACACAACUCCACGCCACACAUUCACCACAAAUCAUUCGAAUAAUCCAAUGCUAUCAUCGCCGUUAUUUCCGCGCAAGUCGAUGGACUCAGCGCCAUCGGUACCAGUAUCGCUACAUACAUCGCCGCGUUUUACACGUCGACCCUUUCCAAAUAAAGCAUCGCCCGGACUAGACGAUGAUCAACAAACACCACCGUCGCCGCUUAUUUAUCGACGCAUGACGUCACGCGAAGAUACUGCCACAGAUGUUUUUUCACGAUUGGGAGCCGGCACACAAGAUCCAGUUCCCGGCGGAUCGAUCCGAGAAUACAGCGGAAAGAUAAAACCUAGCAAUCCAUUGAAUUGCACCCACGUGGUCGAAGGGCAUAGUAAUUCUGUUCUCGCUGUCAAGGUCAAUGACAACAAUUUAUAUACAGCUGCUGCAGAUCGAACGGUUCGAAUUUGGGAUUUGGGCAAAUCAAAUGGUCCAACCGGACUAUUAUCGCAUGCUGGUCCCGUCGUGGCCGUCGAACAUGAUCGAAAAACGAAUUUAUUGUUUUCCGCCUGCGGUGCAUUUGUUCGAGUAUGGGAUUUGCGAUCCAGCCACACAAAGUCUGUAAAAACGCUUUGUUCCAGUGGAAACACAAUGUCCGGUACAGCAAAUUUGGGUCUAUCCACUACUGGCGAAUCGCCUGUGACGGCGCUCUCUUUGGGAUCAACAGGCAAUUUAUACAUUGCUGCAUCGGAUAAAGUUCGAAUAUGGGAUUUGAGAAAUUUCUCAUGUGUUGGAAAGUUAAUUGGUGGUCAUCAGGCGGCUGUAAUGUGCGUUGCAUCAUGGAAAGGACCAGAUGGCACCGAUUUUGUUGCAACCGGAUCAAAAGACCAUUACGUAAAAGUGUUCGAAGUGUCAUCAGCUGCUGGCAUCGUAUCCCCAUUGUUGCACCUCGAACCACCACAUUACGAUGGCGUUCAAGCGUUGGUUGUGGCCAAAAAUUCGCUUGGUGCCGAUGCUGAACUAUUCUCUGGCAGUCGUGAUACCGGCAUCAAACGAUGGGAUCUACGAAAUGGCGAAUUAAAACAAUCUCUGAACAAUGCACACAAAGGCUGGGUGUCUGGUAUGACCAUUUCGGAUGACAUUUUGUUGUCAGCAUGCCGCGGUGGCAUAAUUCGUCUAUGGAAUGUGAAUACUUGCGAGAGCAUUGCCGAUAUGAAAACCGAUUCAGCAAUCAAUGACAUUGUUUGCAAUAGACAACUCAUUUACACAGCAGCCAAUUCGGGCGAAGUGCGGAUUUGGCGUUUGAUUCCACCACCAUAAAGAAUGUGUCAAUUCUAUUCACUUCUUCUAGUAUUGUUAGCUAUAGCUUGUUUCAUUGUAGCAAACUCGUUAACAACAUAAUGAACAAACCAUGUACCUUAAAUUUUAUGACGACAAAAGCAAGCAAUUGACCCAACAAACAUGUGGUCAAUGCAAAAAUGAAUUUGUGCCUCUGAUAUUUAUAACUACAUGACAAUUACAUGAUUUAGAGAUCUAGAUUAGCGUUUUUGACGUGCCGGGUGACUUGAAAUCGAUUUACAGACAAAGAGCCAACAACAAUGAUGGAAAAAUUCGCGUAUGGAAGUUGCGGCGCCAAAUAAUGCUACAAACCAGAUGACAAUAUCGUUGAGAAGUUGGAAUAGAAUCAUUUUUUUUUUAUAAAUUGGCUGCGAAAUUAUUUAAUAUUUAUAAAUAUUUAUUAUUUGAUGUGAAGUCAAGACAAUUUGUUUGUCAACCAAAAAAGAAAAAUCGAUAGAAUUUAAUAAAAUAUGUGAAAAAACAUAAAAAUUAAUGCAAAAUAGCAACAAAAUUUAUUCAAUUCGAAAAAG
This is an RNA transcript of Contarinia nasturtii (swede midge), 6845 nucleotides long. It is a transcript of the gene named kinesin-like protein KIF21A, with no coding region annotated. The transcript is spliced from 20 exons. The record is from RefSeq and is a predicted model, not a curated record. Lineage: Eukaryota; Metazoa; Arthropoda; Insecta; Diptera; Cecidomyiidae.